This 254-nucleotide ribosomal RNA is filed under the name uncultured bacterium. RNAcentral describes it as "partial 16S ribosomal RNA". It matches the Rfam family "Bacterial small subunit ribosomal RNA", at positions 524 to 776 of the family's 1533-position model. The record is from RNAcentral.
GACGGAGGAUGCAAGUGUUAUCCGGAAUCACUGGGCGUAAAGCGUCUGUAGGUUGUUUAAAAAGUCUGCAGUUAAAGGUUGAAAGCUUAACUUCAAAAAUGCCGUAGAAACUUUUAAACUAGAGGAUGGUAGGGGUAGAGGGAAUUUCCAGUGGAGCGGUGAAAUGUGUAGAUAUUGGAAAGACCACCGAUGGCGAAGGCACUCUACUGGGCCAUGACUGACACUGAGAGACGAAAGCUAGGGGAGCAAAUGGG